Molecule: ribosomal RNA, 253 nt
Filed under: uncultured bacterium
Lineage: Bacteria
Description: partial 16S ribosomal RNA
Rfam family: Bacterial small subunit ribosomal RNA
Source: RNAcentral
UACAGAGGGUGCGAGCGUUAGUCGGAAUUACUGGGCGUAAAGCGUGCGUAGACGGCUAUCUAAGUCGGGUGUGAAAGCCCCGGGCUCAACCUGGGAAUUGCAUUCGAGACUGAAUAGCUAGGGUACGGUAGAGGGAAGUGGAAUUUCCGGUGUAGCGGUGAAAUGCGUAGAUAUCGGAAGGAACAUCAGUGGCGAAAGCGACUUCCUGGACCAGUACCGACGUUCAGGCACGAAAGCGUGGGGAGCAAACAGG